This is a long non-coding RNA of Oncorhynchus keta (chum salmon), 1497 nucleotides long. RefSeq lists it as uncharacterized. The record is from RefSeq and is a predicted model, not a curated record. NCBI's taxonomy places the organism in Eukaryota, Metazoa, Chordata, Actinopteri, Salmoniformes, Salmonidae. The transcript has 3 exons.
AACAGACUUAACCCCUCAACAGACUCAACCCCUCUCUCUCCCUCAGACUCAACCCCUCUCUCCCUCAACAGACUCAAGCCUUCUUCAGAUUUCUCCACUCCCUCAAGACUUACAUCCCCCAUUACACAAUUAAUGAUGUUAUUUCAUUGAUCCUCUCCUCUCUGUUCUCGUCAAGGUCACGACCCGGCAUAUCUUCCUUAAAGAAGAGAAGAAGAGCGGGAAGAAAACGUUCUUCCUCUUUCUUCAGUCUUCAAAAAGAAGCUGCGUCCAAUCAGAUCCUUUCAACCCCUAAUUAACCCUCUCUUUGUUCACCGAGCUCCCAGCUAAUGAAAUUAGACCAGAAGAAGAACGGUCCGGAACAUUCUCAGCACACAGGCAGGCACACCAUGAGGGACAGGUGGAGCGCCCUAAACUGUUCACAUGAAUAGACUGAGCUGAUUAUAUAGUGGAGAUAACAUGAUAAAGGACACACAGGCCCUAAAGCGGUUUGUCCUUUAAUAUUGUAUUACAGUUACCCUGUUAAUCAGAGCUGUUAAUCAGAGAUGUUAGUCAGAGCUGUUAAUCAGAGCUGUAGGUCAGAGCUGUUAAUCAGAGCGGUUGGUCAGAGCUGUUAAUCAGAGCUGUAGGUCAGAGCUGUAGGUCAGAGCUGUUAAUCAGAGCGGUUGGUCAGAGCUGUUGGUCAGAGCUGUUGGUCAGAGCUGUAGGUCAGAGCUGUUAAUCAGAGCUGUAGGUCAGAGCUGUUGGUCAGAGCUGUUGGUCAGAGCUGUAGGUCAGAGCUGUAGGUCAGAGCUGUUGGUCAGAGCUGUUGGUCAGAGCUGUUGGUCAGAGCUGUAGGUCAGAGCUGUAGGUCAGAGCUGUAGGUCAGAGCUGUAGGUCAGAGCUGUUGGUCAGAGCUGUUGGUCAGAGCUGUUGGUCAGAGCUGUAGGUCAGAGCGGUUGGUCAGAGCUGUUAAUCAGAGCUGUAGGUCAGAGCUGUAGGUCAGAGCUGUUGGUCAGAGCUGUAGGUCAGAGCUGUAGGUCAGAGCUGUAGGUCAGAGCUGUAGGUCAGAGCUGUUGGUCAGAGCUGUAGGUCAGAGCUGUAGGUCAGAGCUGUUGGUCAGAGCUGUAGGUCAGAGCUGUAGGUCAGAGCUGUUGGUCAGAGCUGUUGGUCAGAGCUGUUGGUCAGAGCUGUAGGUCAGAGCUGUAGGUCAGAGCUGUAGGUCAGAGCUGUAGGUCAGAGCUGUAGGUCAGAGCUGUUGGUCAGAGCUCCAAAGACCAAUCUCCAUUUUGUCAGAACCGAAUGCACAAUACGGUUUGAUGGUCUUUAAUCACACUUCCAACAAAAUGUCCAGACAGUCAUGAUUAGAAUGGGUGGCAAUCUUUCAUUUACAACGACAAUAGAAAUACUGAAUUAACAGUUUUAUAUUGUCUAUAAUAUAAUACUCUCAAAACAACUACAAUUUAAAAAAUGGUUCAUUAAGACGGACUCAUCAACACUCAAUUCAUUCAGCGUCAUAGU